Helianthus annuus (common sunflower) is the source of this 656-nucleotide long non-coding RNA. RefSeq lists it as uncharacterized. The record is from RefSeq and is a predicted model, not a curated record. The transcript is spliced from 4 exons. NCBI's taxonomy places the organism in Eukaryota, Viridiplantae, Streptophyta, Magnoliopsida, Asterales, Asteraceae.
UGGAUCAAUUGCAUACAAUGCCAAGGGUGCGUUAAUAAAGGCUAUCAUGGGGUAUUUCAUAUUUGUUUCUUGAUUUUUGUGGUAUCUUUAAUUCAUACUUAUAAUUUUUACUUUCAAAAACCUUAUUCAGCCUCAUAUAUGUUAGAAAUGAGGUUUCAUAUGAAGAAAAACAGAGAGCAAAUAUGGUAGCCAUGGAAACAUUAUCCUCAUCAAUUGCAUUGCUGCAGAGAGAAGAAAACCCAACAGUUGGUACCUACUGAGGAUCAUAUCUAUGAAUUAAUGGAGCCUACAAACAUUGAGUUGCAUGCCACUGCAAUGCUUUCACUACCCCCUGGUGAAUGUAUGUAUCCUGAUCCCACAUUUGUGCACGUCUCUCACAAGCGCUUUUUAUUCGUCAUUAAGUGAUCAAGUUGUAUUAGAGCACUAGUUGCAGGAAUGAACACUUUUCUAAAUACAAAAGGCUGAUAAAUAUAUAAAUUUAUCAUUUCUGCUUAACUAUCCAAUUCCAGCUUCUUUGCUCGAUCUUCCACCAGGAUUCGAAGAACAUUUGUAGAUGAAGCGAUCAGUGGAUCAUAAUUCAACCGAUAAUCUUGACUCUUUUGCCCAAUCAACAAGAAGAAGAGGCUAUUGAGGUUCUCUUCAAUAGACAAGAUGAG